Molecule: long non-coding RNA, 303 nt
Filed under: Daucus carota (carrot)
Lineage: Eukaryota; Viridiplantae; Streptophyta; Magnoliopsida; Apiales; Apiaceae
Description: long non-coding RNA (DCAR_LNC003403)
Source: RNAcentral
UUGCAGUUGGGAUAACCUGGCCACCACCUCUGUGAAUAGCAUCAGCAUGGAGAACAACAUCACAAACCUCAAAGCAAAUUCCUCGCAUGUUUUCCUCACAUAAAGCACCUUCCUUUGAUGCCCACUGGAAACCGGCAACAACAGAAUCCUUAAUUUCAUUAAGGUACUGUACUCCCUUACACAUAUCAACCACCAUAUUUGGACCAGUAGUCUCGGGACCAAAACACCAGAUUUUCUUUGCAAGAUCUUUGUCCCAGCCAAACUCUUCAGACAAAAUUUUGGAUCGGAUCUUAGGAUCAUCCC